RNAcentral lists this ribosomal RNA (208 nucleotides) under uncultured bacterium. RNAcentral's name for it is "partial 16S ribosomal RNA". It matches the Rfam family "Bacterial small subunit ribosomal RNA", at positions 568 to 774 of the family's 1533-position model. The record is from RNAcentral.
AGCGCAGGCGGGAAGACAAGUUGGAAGUGAAAUCUAUGGGCUCAACCCAUAAACUGCUUUCAAAACUGUUUUUCUUUGAGUGCAGGAGAGGAAAGCGGAAUUCCCAGUGUAGCGGUGAAAUGCGUAGAUAUUGGGAAGAACACCAGUGGCGAAGGCGGCUUUCUGGACUGUAACUGACGCUGAGGCUCGAAAGCUAGGGUAGCGAACG